This 402-nucleotide ribosomal RNA is filed under the name uncultured Nitrobacter sp. RNAcentral describes it as "bacterial SSU rRNA". It matches the Rfam family "Bacterial small subunit ribosomal RNA", at positions 355 to 774 of the family's 1533-position model. The record is from RNAcentral. Lineage: Bacteria; Pseudomonadati; Pseudomonadota; Alphaproteobacteria; Hyphomicrobiales; Nitrobacteraceae.
UGGGGAAUAUUGGACAAUGGGCGCAAGCCUGAUCCAGCCAUGCCGCGUGAGUGAUGAAGGCCCUAGGGUUGUAAAGCUCUUUUAACGGGGAAGAUAACGACGGUACCCGUAGAAUAAGCCCCGGCUAACUUCGUGCCAGCAGCCGCGGUAAUACGAAGGGGGCUAGCGUUGCUCGGAAUCACUGGGCGUAAAGGGUGCGUAGGUGGAUCUUUAAGUCAGGGGUGAAAUCCUGGAGCUCAACUCCAGAUCUGCCUUUGAUACUGAGGAUCUUGAGUUCGGGAGAGGUAAGUGGAACUGCGAGUGUAGAGGUGAAAUUCGUAGAUAUUCGCAAGAACACCAGUGGCGAAGGCGGCUUACUGGCCCGAUACUGACACUGAGGCACGAAAGCGUGGGGAGCAAACA